UGUGCACUUUUCUCUUAGUAAGACGCCGUGAUCCAUUAGAAAUUGGUAUACGCCAGUAUACAUUGGGUCAUCAAUAGGCCAAUGCGAAGUUUCUCGGAUUGAAUGGCAUAAUCUUUUACGGUUGUGUGUAUCACCUGGGAAGCGUAUAUGACUGUCUGAUGGAUUUUAAAGAUCAUAUUACUGAUGAUGAGAGUUUAUAUGUUUCUGAUCGACGGCGGUUAAAUUUGGGAUACCUUUUGGACCCGUCUUGAAACACGGACCAAGGAGUCUAUCUAGUAUGCGAGUAAAUGGGUAAUAUGAAACCUAUUUGCAGAAGAAACUUGACUGUUUGUAUGCCUCUUCCAUCCCGGAGUAUUUUCAUCCACAUAUGCAAACGUAUAUGGAAAAUAUAUCAUGAGCACACUGGAUACGACCCGAAAGAUGGUGAACUAUGCCUGAUCAGGUCGAAGUCAGGGGAAACCCUGAUGGAGGACCGAAGCAGUUCUGACGUGCAA
This 494-nucleotide ribosomal RNA is filed under the name Pseudochironomus prasinatus. RNAcentral describes it as "partial large subunit ribosomal RNA". It matches the Rfam family "Eukaryotic large subunit ribosomal RNA", at positions 444 to 896 of the family's 3401-position model. Lineage: Eukaryota; Metazoa; Arthropoda; Insecta; Diptera; Chironomidae. The record is from RNAcentral.